RNAcentral lists this ribosomal RNA (416 nucleotides) under uncultured bacterium. RNAcentral describes it as "bacterial SSU rRNA". It matches the Rfam family "Bacterial small subunit ribosomal RNA", at positions 506 to 920 of the family's 1533-position model. The record is from RNAcentral.
GGCCAGCAGCCGCGGUAAUACGUAGGGUGCUAGCGUUGUUCGGAAUCACUGGGCGUAAAGGGAGUGUAGGCGGGAUCGUAAGUUAGGAGUUUAAUGCAUGGGCUUAACCCAUGAUCUGCUUUUAAUACUGCGGUUCUUGAGUAUGGGAGAGGGCGAUGGAAUUCCAGGUGUAGCGGUGGAAUGCGUAGAUAUCUGGAAGAACACCAGUAGCGAAGGCGGUCGCCUGGCCCAAUACUGACGCUGAUGCUCGAAAGCUAGGGGAGCAAACAGGAUUAGAUACCCUGGUAGUCCUAGCCGUAAACGAUGGACACUAGUUGCUGGAGGAGUCAAUCCUUUCGGUGACGAAGCUAACGCAUUAAGUGUCCCGCCUGGGGAGUACGCUCGCAAGGGUGAAACUUAAAGGAAUUGGCGGGGGA